UCGGGAAUUUUGGGCAAUGGGCGAAAGCCUGACCCAGCAACGCCGCGUGAAGGAUGAAGUAUUUCGGUAUGUAAACUUCGAAAGAAUAGGAAGAAUAAAUGACGGUACUAUUUAUAAGGUCCGGCUAACUACGUGCCAGCAGCCGCGGUAAUACGUAGGGACCAAGCGUUGUUCGGAUUUACUGGGCGUAAAGGGCGCGUAGGCGGCAAUUCAAGUCAUCUGUGAAAUCUCCGGGCUUAACUCGGAACGGUCAGAUGAUACUGCUUUGCUAGAGUGCAGAAGGGGCAAUCGGAAUUCUUGGUGUAGCGGUGAAAUGCGUAGAUAUCAAGAGGAACACCUGAGGUGAAGACGGGUUGCUGGGCUGACACUGACGCUGAGGCGCGAAAGCGUGGGGAGCAAACAGGAUUAGAUACCCCUGUAGUCCCUGAGCGGGCUGGCAAGGCGCAU
RNAcentral lists this ribosomal RNA (447 nucleotides) under uncultured bacterium. RNAcentral's name for it is "bacterial SSU rRNA". It matches the Rfam family "Bacterial small subunit ribosomal RNA", at positions 355 to 825 of the family's 1533-position model. The record is from RNAcentral.